RNAcentral lists this small RNA (927 nucleotides) under Histoplasma ohiense. Its description in RNAcentral is "hypothetical lncRNA". The record is from RNAcentral. Lineage: Eukaryota; Fungi; Ascomycota; Eurotiomycetes; Onygenales; Ajellomycetaceae.
AUCCCUCGCUGCUAAGCUAUCCCUCGCUGCUAAGCUAUUCCUCGCUGCUAAGCUAUCCCUCGCUGCUAAGCUAUCCCUCACUACUAAGCUAUCUAUCGCUGCUAAUCUAUCGCUGCCAAUCUAUCUAUCACUGCCAAUUUAUCUACCACUGCCAAUCUAUCUAUUGCUGCUAAUCUAUCGCUGCUGUCAAUCUAUCUAUCGCUGCCAAUCUAUCCCUCGCUGCUAAGCUAUCCCUCACUGCUAAGCUAUCCCUCACUGCUAAGCUAUCCCUCGCUGCUAAGCUAUCGCUGCCAACCUAUCUAUCGCUGCCAACCUAUCUAUCGCUGCCAACCUAUCUAUCGCUGCCAACCUAUCUAUCGCUGUCAAUUUAUCUACCACUGCCAAUCUAUCUAUUGCUGCUAAUCUAUCGCUGCUGUCAAUCUAUCUAUCGCUGCUAAUCUAUCUAUCGCUGCUAAUCUAUCGCCGCUGCCAAUCUAUCUAUCGCUGCCAAUCUAUUGCUGCUGCCAAUCUAUUGCUGCUGCCAAUCUAUCUUUCGCUGCUAAUCUAUCGCCACUGCCAAUCUAUCUUUCGCUGCUAAUCUAUCGCCGCUGCCAAUCUAUCCCUCGCUGCUAAGCUAUCCCUCGCUGCUAAGCUAUCCCUCACUACUAAGCUAUCUAUCACUGCUAAUCUAUCGCUGCUAAUCUAUCGCUGCUAAUCUAUCGCUGCCAACCUAUCUACCGCGGCGAAUCUAUCUAUCACUAUCAUUACUAGUUCAAAAUAGAACUAGAGCAUAAAUACACUAAACUUCUUUUGAUAGGUAAUGAUUUUUGGUAACGCUCAUAGCAUUAUAUCAUCUAUAUAGGGUAAAUCAUGGUCCCAUUUGGUCCCAUUUUAACAAAAUGGGACCAAAUGGGACCAGAAUCAGUAAUUUAUAAGAAGAACAUGACC